This 147-nucleotide small nucleolar RNA is filed under the name Stegastes partitus (bicolor damselfish). Its description in RNAcentral is "Small nucleolar RNA U109 (ENSSPAG00000022679.1)". It matches the Rfam family "Small nucleolar RNA U109". Lineage: Eukaryota; Metazoa; Chordata; Actinopteri; Pomacentridae. The record is from Rfam by way of RNAcentral.
UUGCAUGUUUUGGCCCUGGGCCUCUCUUGGCCUCUCUCUUUCUAUAGAGUGGACAAGCACAAACAUGCUAGAUUAACAAAUGGGAGUUAACAGGGCCGCCAGUCCUUCAAGGUCAGGCUGAGUUGGUAGUAUAAUACUCCCACAUUU